UACGUAGGGUGCGAGCGUUAAUCGGAAUUACUGGGCGUAAAGCGUGUGCAGGCGGUUUGUUAAGACAGGUGUGAAAUCCCCGGGCUUAACCUGGGAAUUGCGCUUGUUACUGGCAGACUAGAGUGCGUCAGAGGGAGGUGGAAUUCCACGUGUAGCAGUGAAAUGCGUAGAGAUGUGGAGGAACACCGAUGGCGAAGGCAGCCUCCUGGGAUGACACUGACGCUCAUACACGAAAGCGUGGGGAGCAAACAGG
This 253-nucleotide ribosomal RNA is filed under the name uncultured bacterium. Its description in RNAcentral is "partial 16S ribosomal RNA". It matches the Rfam family "Bacterial small subunit ribosomal RNA", at positions 524 to 776 of the family's 1533-position model. The record is from RNAcentral.